GGUUAAGUUAGAAAGGGCGCACGGUGAAUGCCUUGGCACUAGGAGCCGAUGAAGGACGGGACUAACACCGAUAUGCUUCGGGGAGCUGUAAGUGAGCUUUGAUCCGGAGAUUUCCGAAUGGGGAAACCCACUGUUCGUAAUGGAACAGUAUCUUUAUCUGAAUACAUAGGAUAUUGAAGGCAGACCCGGGGAACUGAAACAUCUAAGUACCCGGAGGAAGAGAAAGCAAAUGCGAUUUCCUGAGUAGCGGCGAGCGAAACGGAAUUAGCCCAAACCAAGAGGCUUGCCUCUUGGGGUUGUAGGACACUCUAUACGGAGUUACAAAGGAACGAAGUAAAUGAAGCGACCUGGAAAGGUCCGUCGAAGAAGGUAACAACCCUGUAGUUGAAACUUCGUUCCCUCUUGAGUGGAUCCUGAGUACGGCGGAACACGUGAAAUUCCGUCGGAAGCUGGGAGGACCAUCUCCCAAGGCUAAAUACUACCUAGUGACCGAUAGUGAACCAGUACCGUGAGGGAAAGGUGAAAAGCACCCCGGAAGGGGAGUGAAAGAGAUCCUGAAACCGUGUGCCUACAAGUAGUCAGAGCCCGUUAACGGGUGAUGGCGUGCCUUUUGUAGAAUGAACCGGCGAGUUACGAUCCCAUGCAAGGUUAAGCUGAUAAGGCGGAGCCGUAGCGAAAGCGAGUCUGAAUAGGGCGUUUAGUAUGUGGUUGUAGACCCGAAACCAGGUGAUCUACCCAUGUCCAGGGUGAAGUUCAGGUAACACUGAAUGGAGGCCCGAACCCACGCACGUUGAAAAGUGCGGGGAUGAGGUGUGGGUAGCGGAGAAAUUCCAAUCGAACCUGGAGAUAGCUGGUUCUCUCCGAAAUAGCUUUAGGGCUAGCCUCAUGUUGUGAGAGUCUUGGAGGUAGAGCACUGAUUGGACUAGGGGCCCCCAACGGGUUACCGAAUUCAGUCAAACUCCGAAUGCCAAAGACUUAUCCAUGGGAGUCAGACUGCGAGUGAUAAGAUCCGUAGUCAAAAGGGAAACAGCCCAGACCACCAGCUAAGGUCCCCAAGUAUACGUUAAGUGGAAAAGGAUGUGGAGUUGCUUAGACAACCAGGAUGUUGGCUUAGAAGCAGCCACCAUUUAAAGAGUGCGUAAUAGCUCACUGGUCGAGUGACUCUGCGCCGAAAAUGUACCGGGGCUAAACGUAUCACCGAAGCUGUGGAUUGACAUCUUAGAUGUCAGUGGUAGGAGAGCGUUCUAAGUGCUGUGAAGUCAGACCGUAAGGACUGGUGGAGCGCUUAGAAGUGAGAAUGCCGGUAUGAGUAGCGAAAGACAAGUGAGAAUCUUGUCCACCGAAUGCCUAAGGUUUCCUGAGGAAGGCUCGUCCGCUCAGGGUUAGUCGGGACCUAAGCCGAGGCUGAAAAGCGUAGGCGAUGGCCAACAGGUUGAUAUUCCUGUACCACCUCCCCGCCGUUUGAGUAAUGGGGGGACGCAGUAGGAUAGGGUAAGCGCGCUGCUGGAUAUGCGCGUUCAAGCAGUUAGGCUGAUGAGUAGGCAAAUCCGCUCAUCAUAAAGGCUGAGCUGUGAUGACGAGGGAAUUAUAGUACCGAAGUUCCUGAUUCCACACUGCCAAGAAAAGCCUCUAGCGAGGCGGGAGGUGCCCGUACCGCAAACCGACACAGGUAGGCGAGGAGAGAAUCCUAAGGUGAUCGAGAGAACUCUCGUUAAGGAACUCGGCAAAAUGACCCCGUAACUUCGGGAGAAGGGGUGCUCUGGUAGGGUGUAUAGCCCGAGAGAGCCGCAGUGAAUAGGCCCAGGCGACUGUUUAGCAAAAACACAGGUCUCUGCGAAGCCGCAAGGCGAAGUAUAGGGGCUGACGCCUGCCCGGUGCUGGAAGGUUAAGAGGAGGGGUUAUCCUUUGGGAGAAGCUCUGAAUCGAAGCCCCAGUAAACGGCGGCCGUAACUAUAACGGUCCUAAGGUAGCGAAAUUCCUUGUCGGGUAAGUUCCGACCCGCACGAAAGGCGUAACGAUCUGGGCACUGUCUCAACGAGAGACUCGGUGAAAUUAUAGUACCUGUGAAGAUGCAGGUUACCCGCGACAGGACGGAAAGACCCCGUGGAGCUUUACUGUAGCCUGAUAUUGAAUUUUGGUACAGCUUGUACAGGAUAGGUAGGAGCCUGAGAAGCCGGAGCGCUAGCUUCGGUGGAGGCGUCGGUGGGAUACUACCCUGGCUGUAUUGAAAUUCUAACCCGCGGCCCUGAUCGGGCCGGGAGACAGUGUCAGGUGGGCAGUUUGACUGGGGCGGUCGCCUCCUAAAAUGUAACGGAGGCGCCCAAAGGUUCCCUCAGAAUGGUUGGAAAUCAUUCGUAGAGUGUAAAGGCACAAGGGAGCUUGACUGCGAGACCUACAAGUCGAGCAGGGACGAAAGUCGGGCUUAGUGAUCCGGUGGUUCCGCAUGGAAGGGCCAUCGCUCAACGGAUAAAAGCUACCCCGGGGAUAACAGGCUUAUCUCCCCCAAGAGUCCACAUCGACGGGGAGGUUUGGCACCUCGAUGUCGGCUCAUCGCAUCCUGGGGCUGUAGUCGGUCCCUAUCCGUCGUGGGCGUAGGAAAUUUGAGAGGAGCUGUCCUUAGUACGAGAGGACCGGGAUGGACACACCGCUGGUGUACCAGUUGUCUUGCCAAAGGCAUCGCUGGGUAGCUAUGUGUGGACGGGAUAAGUGCUGAAAGCAUCUAAGCAUGAAGCCCCCCUCAAGAUGAGAUUUCCCAUAGCGCAAGCUAGUAAGAUCCCUGAAAGAUGAUCAGGUUGAUAGGUCAGAGGUGGAAGCGUGGCGACAUGUGUAGCUGACUGAUACUAAUCGAUCGAGGACUUAACCAA
This 2864-nucleotide ribosomal RNA is filed under the name Priestia megaterium. RNAcentral's name for it is "23S ribosomal RNA". It matches the Rfam family "Bacterial large subunit ribosomal RNA". The record is from RNAcentral. Lineage: Bacteria; Bacillati; Bacillota; Bacilli; Caryophanales; Bacillaceae.